GGGCCCGCACAAGCGGUGGAGCAUGUGGUUUAAUUCGAUGAUACGCGAGGAACCUUACCAGGGCUUAAAUGCAGAAUGACAGAUUGGGAAACCAGUCCUUCUUCGGACAUUUUGCAAGGUGCUGCAUGGUUGUCGUCAGCUCGUGCCGUGAGGUGUCAGGUUAAGUCCUAUAACGAGCGCAACCCCUAUUCUUAGUUGCCAGCGGGUAAUGCCGGGAACUCUAAGGAGACUGCCAGCGCAAGCUGCGAGGAAGGUGGGGAUGACGUCAAAUCAUCACGGCCCUUACGUCCUGGCUACACACGUGCUACAAUGGAUGGUACAAUGGGCAGCCACUACGCGAGUAGGAGCU
Molecule: ribosomal RNA, 349 nt
Filed under: uncultured bacterium
Lineage: Bacteria
Description: bacterial SSU rRNA
Rfam family: Bacterial small subunit ribosomal RNA
Source: RNAcentral